This 492-nucleotide ribosomal RNA is filed under the name uncultured bacterium. RNAcentral's name for it is "partial 16S ribosomal RNA". It matches the Rfam family "Bacterial small subunit ribosomal RNA", at positions 29 to 507 of the family's 1533-position model. The record is from RNAcentral.
AGUGAACGCUGGCGGUAGGCCUAACACAUGCAAGUCGAACGGCAGCACAGUAAGAGCUUGCUCUUACGGGUGGCGAGUGGCGGACGGGUGAGGAAUACAUCGGAAUCUACUUUUUCGUGGGGGAUAACGUAGGGAAACUUAUGCUAAUACCGCAUACGACCUACGGGUGAAAGCAGGGGAUCUUCGGACCUUUCGCGAUUGAAUGAGCCGAUGUCGGAUUAGCUAGUUGGCGGGGUAAAGGCCCACCAAGGCGACGAUCCGUAGCUGGUCUGAGAGGAUGAUCAGCCACACUGGAACUGAGACACGGUCCAGACUCCUACGGGAGGCAGCAGUGGGGAAUAUUGGACAAUGGGCGCAAGCCUGAUCCAGCCAUACCGCGUGGGUGAAGAAGGCCUUCGGGUUGUAAAGCCCUUUUGUUGGGAAAGAAAAGCAGCAGGUUAAUACCCCGCUGUUCUGACGGUACCCAAAGAAUAAGCACCGGCUAACUUCGUG